This 1386-nucleotide ribosomal RNA is filed under the name uncultured bacterium. RNAcentral describes it as "bacterial SSU rRNA". It matches the Rfam family "Bacterial small subunit ribosomal RNA". The record is from RNAcentral.
GAGUUUGAUCCUGGCUCACGAUGAACGCUGGCGGCGUGCUUAACACAUGCAAGUCGAGCGAAGCACUUAAGAAAGAUUCUUCGGAUGAAUUCUUUGGUGACUGAGCGGCGGACGGGUGAGUAACGCGUGGGUAACCUGCCUCAUACAGGGGGAUAACAGUUAGAAAUGACUGCUAAUACCGCAUAAGCGCACAGUGCUGCAUGGCACAGUGUGAAAAACUCCGGUGGUAUGAGAUGGACCCGCGUUGGAUUAGGCAGUUGGCGGGGUAACGGCCCACCAAACCGACGAUCCAUAGCCGGCCUGAUAGGGUGAACGGGCGCAUUGGGACUGAGACACGGCCCAAACUCCUACGGGAGGCAGCAGUGGGGAAUAUUGCACAUUGGGGGAAACCCUGAUGCAGCGACGCCGCGUGAGUGAAGAAGUAAUUCGUUAUGUAAAGCUCUAUCAGCAGGGAAGAAAAUGACGGUACCUGACUAAGAACCCCCGGCUAACUACGUGCCAGCAGCCGCGGUAAUACGUACGGGACAAGCGUUAUCCGGAUUUACUGGGUGUAAAGGGAGCGUACACGGCCCGUGCAGUCUGAUGUGAAACGCUGGGGCUCAACCCCGGGACUGCAUUGAAACUGUAUGGCUGGAGUGCCGGAGAGUAAGCGGAAUUCUUAGUGUAGCGGUGAAAUGCGUAGAUAUUAGGAGGCACACCAGUGGCGAAGGCGGCUUACUGGACGGUAACUGACGUUGAGGCUCGAAAGCGUGGGGAGCAAACAGGAUUAGAUACCCUGGUAGUCCACGCCGUAAACGAUGAUUACUAGGUGUUGGGGGACAUGGUCCUUCGGUGCCGCCGCAAACGCAGUAAGUAAUCCACCUGGGGAGUACGUUCGCAAGAAUGAAGCUCAAAGGAAUUGACGGGGACCCGCACAAGCGGUGGAGCAUGUGGUUUAAUUCGAAGCAACGCGAAGAACCUUACCAAGUCUUGACAUCGAGAGGACAGAGUAUGUAAUGUACUUUCCCUUCGGGGCCUCAAAGACAGGUGGUGCAUGGUUGUCGUCAGCUCGUGUCGUGAGAUGUUGGGUUAAGUCCCGCAACGAGCGCAACCCCUAUCUUCAGUAGCCAGCAAUUCGGAUGGGCACUCUGGAGAGACUGCCGGGGAUAACCCGGAGGAAGGCGGGGAUGACGUCAAAUCAUCAUGCCCCUUAUGACUUGGGCUACACACGUGCUACAAUGGCGUAAACAAAGGGAAGCGAGGGAGUGAUCCGGAGCAAAUCCCAAAAAUAACGUCUCAGUUCGGAUUGUAGUCUGCAACUCGACUACAUGAAGCUGGAAUCGCUAGUAAUCGCGAAUCAGCAUGUCGCGGUGAAUACGUUCCCGGGUCUUGUACACACCGCCCGUC